UCUCUGUUAGUAUAUCGGUUAGUACACGCGCUUGUCACUGGUGUCAUUAGAUGACCGCGCGAAAGCGGGGUUCGACUCCCCGACAGAGAG
This 90-nucleotide transfer RNA is filed under the name Trametes versicolor FP-101664 SS1. RNAcentral describes it as "tRNA-Asp". Lineage: Eukaryota; Fungi; Basidiomycota; Agaricomycetes; Polyporales; Polyporaceae. The record is from RNAcentral.